RNAcentral lists this ribosomal RNA (403 nucleotides) under uncultured bacterium. Its description in RNAcentral is "bacterial SSU rRNA". It matches the Rfam family "Bacterial small subunit ribosomal RNA", at positions 355 to 774 of the family's 1533-position model. The record is from RNAcentral.
UAGGGAAUAUUGCAAAAUGGGCGAAAGCCCGAUGCAGCAACGCCGCGUGGGCGAUGAAGGCCUUCGGGUCGUAAAGCCCUUUUUGAGGGGAUGAGGAAGGACAGUACCCUCAGAAUAAGCCUCGGCUAACUACGUGCCAGCAGCCGCGGUAAAACGUAGGAGGCGAGCGUUAUCCGGAUUUACUGGGCGUAAAGCGCGUGCAGGCGGAUUGGAGAGUUGGAUGUGAAAGCUCCCGGCUUAACUGGGAGAGGUCGUUCAAUACUUCCAGUCUUGAGUGCAGUAGAGGGAGGUGGAAUUCCGGGUGUAGUGGUGAAAUGCGUAGAUAUCCGGAGGAACACCAGUGGCGAAAGCGGCUUCCUGGACUGUAACUGACGCUCAGACGCGAAAGCUAGGGUAGCAAACG